CUGAUGAAAUAGGUAACAGCAGAAAGGCAAGUCAAGCUAGAAGGAGAAGAAAAAAGAUGUUUAAUCAAUAAAUUAAAAAAAAAAAAGUUUUUUAUGUAGAGUAAUUUUUAUGUUCUUAAACAAUCAGGCCACAAUACAAAUGUGAUUGCUUUUAAAUCAGGUAGUGUCUGAUGCUGGAGACUUCUUCCACACUGAAGGAACAAUGGCAAUUCUUAAGGAACAGAACAGGAGCAUAAAGGGAGAGAGAAGCAUGUAGUAUUCCUUCUGCUGCAGAAGUUCAGCAGCCCAAAGAGAAACACACGAAUGGAUACAAAUUCAGAAAAUGAAGCCUUUCAUAAAGAUAAUGUGGCGCAUUCAAUGAUCUACAGAAAUGAGGGAAAUUGUAAGCAAUUUUCUCUGCCAGUUUGGCUUUCUUUUCAUCUCUCAGAAAUAUUUUAGAGAUAACUCACAUUACUGCCUUGAAGUUUAAAGAGGAAUGGAAAUGGAUGAGUUGGAUUGUCCUUUAUCCUGCCUUUCAUAUGGGGCAAUUGUGAGCUAAAUCAGGCCACGUGGCUAUAUCUUAUGCAGGUGUAAAUGACUGAAGCGUACUUUCAAAGUGUGAUUCAGCUGUCAUAGUUUAGUUGUCUGUUUUCAGAUGAGAUGAAUUGCAUUGCAGAAAUGCCAGUUUAUUCUUAUUGACUAUAAAGGGAGCCUUGGGUGACCAGCUCAGAUAAAAGGAAAACAUAACCAAAAAUGGGAGAGAGUAUCCGAGAAAGAGUGUAUGAGCAUGUAAUGAAAGAAUGCAUCAUCACUCUUACAGGCUCUGAAGCUAAAUGAAUAUUGCAUGCACCACUGCCAUCUCACAUUUAGUAAGUACUUAUCUUUCAGCCUUCCUGUUAUCUCAGGGUAACGCGCUAUAACAGUCUACCAAGAGGAUUCACAUCAUGGACAUGAACGCACUCACAUACGUUCUUCUCCCCACUAUUCCCUCAACAUGAAGAUGAAGUUUCUCAGGAGACAAAGAACUGUUCAACACUGUUAUGAAAUCGAGGACAGAAAUCCAACUGGGAUAAUGUGCAAAGCGUGUGGAAUUAAGGCAAGAAUCACAGAAUUGCAGGAAUUGGAAGAGACCUCAAGAGUCCAACCCCUGCUAAAGCAGGUUCCCUACAACAGGUCACACAGCAGGAGAAUUCAUCUGAACCAUGAACAAAGCAGUCCAUACUGGAGUUCAGGAUUAUCUUUUUACUUCUUUCUUUGUGGACUGAAAGUAUGGAGAGGAUAAAACAAAAACAAAAACAAAAGAAACAAAAACAACCUGAAGAAGAGCCUUUGCGAAUAUAUGAUUUAUGGAAAAAAAAUGUGUAAUACGGAAUGUCAGCUCUUCUGGAGGUCUUUUGCCUUUUGGCACUCUCCAUUCAAAGGAGCACCCAAGAUUCCCAGUAUAAUCUGUGGUAUGCAUGUAUGUCUAUUUGUCAUAGCUGCUCCCAGUGGGAGUUUUAGUGCUGAAUGAAGUGUCAGUAAAGGUGCACUGCCAAUGACCAUAUUCAAACAUCCUUUCAUUAAUGCAACCUUACAGUGAUCUUAGCUCUGUCCAUGUUCCUAAGAAUUUAUUCGGAAUUACACCUUGUCUAUCUUUCCAUGAAGAUGAUGGUUGAUUAAAUGUCUGGAAAACCUUCUAAGUGUCUUUGUUUCUGUUCCACUGAAUAAGUGCUGCAACUGUUGUACGGACAGGAGAAAUAGAUAUGAAGAAGCCUUCACAACAAGGAAGGCAUUUGUGGUGUAGGUAUUUCUUUGUUUCCAAUCUGGAGCCCACUAAAUCAGCAAAGUCCCACCCAGCACUUGCUAGAAAGUGUUUUUUAGUCACUCCAGUCUGAGGUGUCUGGCACAUGUAUUUUGCUGCCCACUUUGCAUUUCUUUACUUUAGAACCUUGAAUUUGGAGUUACUUCCACAAAUGUACACCUUUAAUUUUUCACUUAAAGUAGGAUUUCAAAGAGAUUCUCUGAUUACAGCUAAAGUGGCAGUACAAGAAUACUCCUUAAUUCCUGAGUCUUGAUCCACAUCCUCACCGGGUCCAGUUCUGCAGGGCACUAUCUCCUCUCUCUCCCCAUCCCACUACAGCACGCUACUUUCCAUGAGCAGGAAGAAUCACUGAGCAGAAAAGGAUUGGAGGUAUCUUGUUAGCAGAAGCCUAAAUUCCCAGUCCAUGAACGUACACCUCCACUGCAUGACAUAGAAAUCUUUGCUCACAGUUCACAAAUACUUGCUCUGAGCCCAUCCAAGUUUGAUUGAUUGGUCAAUGUCCAUAAUAUUUAUUAUUAAUAUUAAUAUUAAACAAUGAGUUUUCUUCCAUUUAACAAAACUAAAUGGAUGGUGAUCAAAUGAAAUGAAAUAACUGGCUGAAAAUUUGGGAUGAACAGAGUUCCUUCAGCCAUCAGUUCUAGCAACCUGAUGUUCUUGCUCUCUCUUCAGUGUACUGAGACAAGAAUUUAGAGAUCAUUUCCAUUUAUCUUUCAUUUGUUCAUGUAGAAAAUAACAAACUAAAAAUUUGUAUCUGAGCAAUUUGUGAAAUGAGAAUUUUUCUAAUUCAGCAUAUGUGUCUCUUUUUAUCAUUUCAGUGGCUGAACAUCCAUACCAUCAAUGGAAAUGGAGACUAAGUCUUUAUCUGAGUCCAUAUCACAUCUAUGGGAGUUUUUCCAUUGACCUCAAUGGGUCAAAGGGAUCAAGUAUUUUAUUUUAUUUUAUUUUAUUUUAUUUUAUUUUAUUUUAUUUUAUUUUAUUUUAUUAUUUUAUUUUUUUGUUAGAAUUUCUUUCCAUCAAGUUGGAGAAACAGGAUGUAAAUAUUGAGUCACCGUCCCCAUUGCUAACCAUGCACCAAGAUUAGCCAGUUGGACUUGGUGUGGGACUUACCUCCUAAGAGGUCAUGAUCCCCGUGACCGAGGAGCCCAUUCAGGUAGGGAUGAGUGAAUUUUUGCUUUGAAAUAGAUGUCAUCCAUCAGUAGAUACUACAAGCAAGACCUCAAGUUCCAGAAAUUUCAACACUUUCAAGUCAAGGUAAUAUCCAUUUGCUCUGCUGAAUUCAGAUCUUUAAUUUUAGAGCAGGCAGGACUUUGCAGCCUGGAAUACAUUAACACAGAGAAACAAUCAUUUAAUGUAGUAGCCAAGUAGUCAGGUCACUGACAAUUUACAGAGUAAAUACUUAGAAAUAGUCUCUAUCUUUAUUGGUGUUUAUAUUCAGAGAUAAUUAGUAACUUGUGCACAGACACAAAGUAAUUGAUGUAAUGAUUUAUUUUGAACUUGUUCUUCUCUUGCAAGAGCUGCUUACACAAGGGCAUACAUUAGCUGGUUUGUUGAAAAUAUUUAAUUUUGUAACUCUUUGCUGACCAAGUAUAAAGGCCUAGCACUAAUUGUACAUGUGGAGAAUUGACUUCAAAAUGCUGCUCAAUGAGAAGAGAAAACCUAGUGCAGAGAUGUCCAAAGUGAUGCUUGCUGUGAUACAAGGGGGUGUACUCUUCUCUCCUGUAAAUUACCAUCAUCAGAGUGAGGAUCAUAAGACAGGGGAGGUCACAAGAGGGAAAGUAGCCAUACUGCUACGCAUCUUCAUCCUCUUCUUCUCCUUACAAACAAUGCACUCCCUGUCAGCUUAGUCCUUAUUUCUGCAUGAAAGUGCAUGAGUGCCAGUGGAGAAGGUAAGCCUUUAUUUUGUCCGUGGAAUGGGGUGUGGGGAAUAUCCCGUUCAAGGUUUUAUAUGGCGUAGUGGUUCAGGAAGCACUGCUAAUAUUGCAGGUAGCAACAGUGAGAAGCUAAGCGAUGUAUCACGUUUUCUUUUUGAUUCAUGCUUAUGAUUCAGGGCUGGGAUCCAUCCUGGACUGCUGCUGGUUUGGGCUGUUGGUGAUAAAAUGCCAAAGCGCAGCUCGUUUUACAACUUACAUCUAUUGAAACUGCCAACAGAGCUCCACUGAUGGAGAGUCACACUCUUCCCAACAGCUUUUAGAGCUCAGUGAAACCAAAGCUGCGAAGAAGAUGUAAUAAAAGAAACUGAAGAGGAAGUGAAAGGGAAGAAGACUGUGUGAUUUUUGAGGAAGAAUCUACAUGCAGGUGAGGAUGGAGUCAAAGUGAGAGCACUGCACUGCAGCCAGUGAGCACAACAGCAAGUGCAGGGGAGUUGCUGCCUCAGUAUGUAGCAGGUAAAACAACAUUGCUCUGAAUGCUACUAUGCAGCAGGUAGUGAGCUCAGUACAUUUUUUGCGUGGAGCAAUUCAUCUAUACUUCAUGUAAAGCCACCCAAAAAUCCUCUGAUAAAUUAAAUUCAUAUAUAUUAAAUUCAUGCCAUCCAGAGGGAUCUGGACAGGCUUGAGAGAUAUGCCCAUGCCAACCUCAUGUAGCGCAGCAAGGCCAAAUGCAAGGUUCUGCAUCUGAGUUGGGGCAGUCCCAAGCACAGAAACAGGUUGGGUGGAGAGUGGCUUGAAAGCAGCCUUGAGGAAAAGGAUUUGGGGGUGUCAGUUGAUGAAAGGCUCAAUAUGAGCCAGCAAUGUGCGCUUGCAGCCCAGAAAGCCAACUGUAUCCUGGGUUGCAUCAAGAGAAGCGUGACCAGCAGGUCGAGGGAGGUGAUUCUGCCCCUCUACUCUGCUCUCAUGAGGCCCCACCUGGUGUACUGCCCCAGAACAAGAAGGACAUAGAGCUGCUGGAGCCAGUCCAGAGGAGGGCCAUGAAGGUGAUCAGAGGGCUGGAGCAAUUUCCCAAUGAGGAGAGGCUGAGAGAGCUGGGGCUCUUCAGCCUAGAGAAGAGAAGGAUCCAGGGAGACCUUAUAGAGGCCUUCCGGUACCUGAAAAGGGCCUACAGGAAAGUUGAAGAGCUACUUUUUAUAAUGGCAGGUAGCGACAGGAUGAGGGGAAAUGGCUUUAAAGUGGAAGAGGGUAGAUUUAGACUAGAUAUUAAGAAGAAAUUCUUUACUGUGAGGGUGGUGAGACACUGGAACAGGUUGCUCAGAGAGGCUGUGAAUGCCCCCUCCCUGUAAGCAUUCAAGGCCAGGCUGGAUGGGGCUUUAAGCAACCUGGCCUAGAGGGAGGUGUCCUUGCCUAUAGCAGGGAUCUUAAAGGUCCCUUCCAACUCAAACCAUUCUCUGAUACUAUAGUAUUACAGUGCCCAAGGUAUACCUGCUUGGCUGUCAGUAUGCACACUGGAUGUCAUGACUGGAUGCUAUUGGAAAGCAGACGGAGAGGAAAAUUUAAGCAGUAAGCAUACAAUUAAAUCUCCUCAUGCCUGGGAAGUCAUACAUGUGAAAAAGGGAAACACUGUCCUGGUCCAGAAGAGGUAGGUCUUCAGCAAAGAGCUUGAAACUGAAGGACACAACACAAAGUCUACAUGAAUAAGAUAUCAAGUGACUUAAGAGCUAAAGGUUUUCACUUAGUUUCAGUAACUUCAAAAUUUUAGAGUGUCAGUGGAAGAGCUAACAAGUACCUAGAGGCAGGAGGCAGGGAACACAAUAGUCUUGAAAUGGUCUAGGCAGAGCAGGAGACAAACAUGUGGAAGGACAAGGGAGCAGGGAAAGGGCAUUGCAAAGGGUCAUCAGUAUGAGUAGAAGCUUUCUCCAGUGUAAAACGGAGAGAAGAUUGAGGGAUGGAUUAUGUUUAGAUACAUGACUCAGACUGCUGAUUUUGAGCUCCGUUUCUGAACAAAUUGCCCCAGGACCUUCACCUGCUGCAGCCCAUGUCUGCACAGAGGUGCAUCUCCCCAGGCUGUACGCCACCUUCACCACCACUACCCUCCCUUCUCCCAAUAGGAGUCAGUCAAAAGCAGUGAUCAACAUGGAAAAGACUACAUAUUGAACUGUGAAAACAGUAAGAGAUGUAUGCAUUCCUCCUUGAUGCACGUAGCCUUUAACCUUCAGCCCAGAUUGCUGAGCCUACAUGUGCUGGGCAUGCUGGGAUCUAGGGAUGGAGGAGGAUGGCUAAGUUCAUCUCUUACUUUUGUGCCUAAGGUACACGAGGAAAUAACAAUAUGAAGGCAGAUCAAAGGUCCAUCUAGCUCAGCGCCUUGGUAGGGGUUGGGAGAAAUUCCUUAGGGAAGAUCCUUGAGAAUGGGCAGUAUAGCAGCUGAGGCUCCACUUAGAACAGCCCGUUGGCUUCCAGCAACUGGCAACUUACAGCCUCACUGUCCCCAGGGUUGUGUCCAGACCACCAAGUUUAACAGCCAUUGCCUUACCUUCCCUGAAUCUGUCUAAUCCCUUCUUGGACCCAUUACUUCACAGCUCUGUAAUAGACGUUCUCACAGACACCACUUGGCAGUGAUACACGUAUGGGAGAAACCAAGCAUGCCUGAGCUUGUUAAAGAAAAUAAAAAUACAAGACAGAGUGGACUUCCAGAGCCUUCCUUCCCUCCCAGCCCUCUUUUGAGGCCUUGGUUUCUCAGCUCCUCUGCCUACCAGGGGCUGCUUUCUGCCUCCUCUAGCUUCUUCUGCAGGCAGAAGCCCAGCCAGGAGGAUGGAAGCUGGAUGAAGCAUGCUGGUGACAACCAGCUGCUCAUCACAAGUUUUAAAAUGGCCCUGAUGCUGUAUUUCACACAAAGGCAGGUGGGCUGAGGAUGGUCCAGAUAAAUCAGGUCAUACAUCUGCUGUGGAAAGCAUGCCCCAAGGGCCAGAUGUGUUCCGCAGCACUUAUGUGCUCCACUCCUCCAAUCGCCCCAGGAGCAAGCCAACUGGGUCCCUUUAAAAUCUGCCCCUUUGGUGUUGCUACUACACCACUAAUGAUUUACCUCUGUUUAGCGCUGGCAGAAGCAGUGGCUUUGUUGACUUGGGUGUGCAGCUGGUUCCUGGACAUUCCUGGGGCAAAUCUCAUGAUUGCUGAUGCCAGUGAAAAGCUAUGCUGAGCCUGAUGGACCCACACAGCAGCAAUGGGAUCUGUCAACAGAGAUUGAUGUCAGCGUUAAAUCCAACUGUAGCUAAAGGGCAUCUCUGCUGGGUUGUGACAGUAGCAAAACCAUGUUGAAAGCCAGAUUUCAUCCAAUGCACUACGAGGGACACUUUAAAACAAGUUAAAGGGUUUUAUGACCUGAUUUGGCCUUAUUUGCUCUGAGCACUGCUGCCAUUGAGUACAGCACUAAUCUGGUUUGGUCACAGUAGAGUUCACAUUUUUAUGGGCUGAUGACAAAUUAGUAUGAGGCUCAUUUACUUUGCAUAGAACAAGCCAUCAGCUCCCAAGCUGCAUGGGCAACCAGUCCUGCUGAUGCCGAAUUACCUGCCUCUCCAAGAGCCAUUUACCUACAGCAGUCUUGCUUCAAAAUCACAAGUGACCUUCACUGAGUUUUUGAGUAUGUCCUUUGUUCUACACUCCUGGAAUCUCCUAGGGAUGUUUUGAAACUGCUGUUGGCUUCCUGGGGGAGUGGAAGCAGAUGGGUCAGUUCAGAUACAAAGAGGGCAAAGGAAUAUAAGAAUGCAUACACCCUGUGCUUCUAAAGCAUCACCUCUGGUCUGCCAUGUCACAGCUGGGACAUAAUUCUCAGGAUUUCACCUUCUUAUUCCCUUGGUCUGAUACAUUUCUUCAAGCCACCUCACAUGCAUUCUCUGGGCCUGGCCAUGUUUCACUAUGCUCGUCUUCCUCCAUCUCCCAUUAGCAAAUUCUAGCACAGUUUCACUCCACAGCUCUCAGAUUUGUCAUUGCUUCUUUUGCUGCGUGGUGUGUAGAACUCACAAUGCGGCAGGCAACAACAGGAAUCAGAAGCAAAGCAGCAGUUCUAUCAGACAGAGCUGGACUCAACAGACCAGCAGAGCCCAGAAGAACGAGGAGUCUCACAGGACAGCACAGGCAUCUGAGACGGAGGCGUGUUGCUUUGGCCAGAGCUUUCUCCUGGGGUGGCUAACGAGAGAGGUCUGCUCACACUGAGCACUGCUUGGAGACUUUCCUGGCAGUUUUUUUUAACACCUCUUCUUGUUCUCACUUGUUAUCUGUCAACAGCUGAAGCCAGUUGGCUUCAUGGAGGGCGUACAAAAGGGAGCAAUGAAGAGAGUGGAUUUCCAGUCACACAAGAACGCAGUGCUUUAACAAUGGCAACAGAUAUCCUCGGCUUAAUGUUUUGUCGUAAUACAUGGAAAGUAAGAAACAGUCCAUUGAUACUGAGCACUUUAAUGAAUAAAAAAAAAAAACGAAAAAAGGUUUCAUUCCAGACUUUAAGAAUGCCAAUAUUGUGUAAUAAAAAUGGUAAACAGAAUGUUCGGAGCUUUUGCUUUGAGUCCCAAAAUGAAAAAAGAUGAAGCUUUAUUACUUUUUUUUUUUUUUAAUACAGUCUAGAGCCUUUCACUUUGGCUGCUAAUACAAAGAUGAUGGGAUAUAACACUGUGACACAGCAGCUGCCUUUUCAAUGAGGAAAGAGCCUCCAAACUUUGGUUUGCUAGUAUGACAUUCACCAAGAGACUAUUUAAUAAAAAAACAUGUAGUAUGAGGUCAGGUAUCUACAAGCUGGAUCCGGAUCCAUUAGUACAAAUGGACUUCAAAGCUUUGAUCCAUCCGUUUCAAACUGAAGGGAUCGUGUUGGCAUGUUUUGAGAGAAUAGACAUAUGCUCUGGAUGUCCAUGUUCCUCUUCAUCAAAAUCACUUCUGUGUGGUCAAGAGGAAGCAAGUGUGAGGAUGACUUGAGACGGGCAGUGGGUGCCCAUCUUCAUGCGCUGUACAUUGAGAAUGGCUAAAAAACAAAAAUGAAUUGGAA
RNAcentral lists this long non-coding RNA (8677 nucleotides) under Gallus gallus (chicken). RNAcentral describes it as "lncRNA (ENSGALG00010004573.1)". Lineage: Eukaryota; Metazoa; Chordata; Aves; Galliformes; Phasianidae. The record is from RNAcentral.